RNAcentral lists this ribosomal RNA (492 nucleotides) under uncultured bacterium. RNAcentral's name for it is "partial 16S ribosomal RNA". It matches the Rfam family "Bacterial small subunit ribosomal RNA", at positions 39 to 507 of the family's 1533-position model. The record is from RNAcentral.
GGGGGGGGGGGGGGGGGGGGGUGGCGCGGGCGGGGCGGGCGGCGGCGCGGUGAGGGCUUGCUCUUGCGGGUGGCGAGUGGCGGACGGGGGCGGCAUACAUCGGCAUCUACUUUUUCGUGGGGGAUAACGUAGGGAAACUUACGCUAAUACCGCAUACGACCUACGGGUGAAAGCAGGGGAUCUUCGGACCUUGCGCGAUUGAAUGAGCCGAUGUCGGAUUAGCUAGUUGGCGGGGUAAAGGCCCACCAAGGCGACGCUCCGUAGCUGGUCUGAGAGGAUGAUCAGCCACACUGGAACUGAGACACGGUCCAGACUACUACGGGAGGCAGCAGUGGGGAAUAUUGGACAAUGGGCGCAAGCCUGAUCCAGCCAUACCGCGUGGGUGAAGAAGGCCUUCGGGUUGUAAAGCCCUGUUGUUGGGAAAGAAAAGCAGCAGGUUAAUACCCCGCUGUUCUGACGGUACCCAAAGAAUAAGCACCGGCUAACUUCGUG